AAAUGGUCCGCAGUACGCUUUCAAUCCUUCGUCCGCCGCGCCGCUUCGCUUCCUCCAACCGCGCCCGUCUCGUUUUCGUCCGUCCCGCGCCCCACCCAAAAACCGUCCGCCCCCCUCCCCAUGACCCAUCCUAGAUCCGCCGCCGCCCCAGCACCCAAUCCCGCUGCUCCUCCCCCACAGUCCCGCCGCUCCUCCUGCCCCCCCAAUCCCGCUCGCCGCCGGCACAGUCCGUCGCAUCGUGCUGCCGGCCUCCAUGAGCGGCAGGGCCGGUGCGCCAGCCUCAGGCGGCAGCCGCUGAGACGGACGACGGGCCAGCGGCCUCCCGCGGCGGCGACGGGCGACAGACAGUGCGGGCCGCGAUAUCCGUCGAGAAGGGCGAGAAGGCGUACACGAUGACGUCCGAGAUCUUCAACGUCGCCAAGGAUCUUCUCUGAUUUGUUCCAGUGUAUGGGCAAGGGUCAGGUUCAGUCAAAGUCCGCACUCCGCAGACCAUUUGUCGAGGAUCCACAGACCACAGGUCAAUCGGGUAAACUUAUGGGUGCUAGAAGAAUUGAUGACCCGGUGUUGGGUAGAGAUAGCUGCAUCCGAUGUCCAGACCAUCCCAUCUAGAAUUAUAUUUUUGAAGCAACCUCUUUGGAGCCCUCAAAGAAAAGCCCCUUUUUAGAGACCCAUAUACUGUGAAAUGAGGUGCUCCACAAUCAGAUGCCAAUUUCAGCACUCCUAAGUUGAAGAAUGUAAUACCUGGUGAGAUGCACUCAAAACAUAAUUGAUGUGUGUUUUCUUCAGUAUGAGUUUGGACUACUUAUCAGCUAUCCUGUUAAAGGUUGAGAUCAUUGUGCGCAUUAUAUUAGAUAACAUAUUUCAUGAGUGGACUGAUGUACAGUUUGAAUUAGUAAUCUUCUCUAAGCCCUGUUGUCAGCUGAUAAAUAAGAGCUGAUGUUAGCAGAUAAAUCAUGUUGCCUUUUUUCCUUGAUGGUGCAAAGAAAAACUAAUUUAUGUAGUGACCAGCCAUAUAUGAUGAGCCACUCUAGAUGGCAAUCAUAUAUAUACUUCAUACACAAUUUGCUGAUACUUUAUUAUUAUGAGUUCACAUGCUGUUUAUUGAUUCGACUGGAGUAACUAGAUUAAUAUAUUGUCUUCCAUAUUAAAUAUUGCUUCUUACCUUUAAUAUAUUGUGCUCCACCUGUCUAUAUUGGCAUGGUUUCUCUUUCACUUUGUUACAGGAUACAUGGGUGUUAAUAUUUUUGUUCUGUUGUUAAAAGAAAUCUUUACUACAAUGCUUAUUCAAUUAGUUGAUUGUAUAUUUCCUGAUGCUGCAAGUGGGGUAAAAGUGGUGUACAGAGCAAAGGAUUUUGAGGACCAGCGGGUGAGGUGUGUUCUUUUCUGCCACCAACCACAUAAUUUUUUUUUCUGCAUUUCACUCUAUUUUUUGAAAUCAGAAAGCACAUGGUUCUUGGUUCAGACAAAAUUAAGUCAGAGCACAUCAAACCAAUGAUGGAUAAUGAAGGAUUUUACUGAUGAGGGAUGUGUAUGGCAUUUCCAUGAACAUAGCUGUAUAAGAAAAUCCUUUAUUUAAAAAACCAGCAUUGUUAUACUGCAAUUUAUACCUCAUGUUUCGGGCAAACAAUGCUGGGACAACACAUGCCACACACAUGUAUACAUCUGUAGUUUGACUGAUUCCUUAUUCAGUUGGGAGAAACAAUGAAUGCCUCUCUCUCUAAUUCUUAUGAAUAAGUAAAACCUUUGUACAUUCGUAUUUGCCGUGAUAAAGCUCGAUGCUUGAAUAGUGACCACUGUUAGACAUAGCAUUGCAUGAUAUCUUAUAGUGCCCACUGCUGACCAGUCAAAGAAUCUUUUGCAGCUUUUGGAUUAGACUCACAUGGCAUUUGGAGCUACAUUAUACCAUUGUUGGCUGCAAGUGGAACUUGAAAAACUAUCAUUUCUGGUGUAGCUUUUAUUUUCAACAUUUUUUCCUUCACAUUCUCUUUUCUAAUUUUAACUCCAUACAAUUAUUGGUUGACAAGGAGGGUAUUCUGAAGGCUAACAUGACCACUACUCCUUGACAAGUGAAAAUUUCAGAGAACGAUGUCAAUCUUGGCCAUGACAAGAAAUCAAGGUGGCACUUUUCUAAAUGUAUUUUCCAAGAAGCAAGCACAAUUGAAAACGGAGGUCCUAUAAAAAAGAAAUAAGCAAGCACCAACAGGCGCUUACAGUUAGGAGACCUGACGAAGGAUGAUAGGGUAGUUGAUGGAAUUUUUGGGUUAGGGCAGAUCGACUGUGUCAUUUCUCAACUGAAACAUUUUUCGAUGUCCCUGAAAGUGUUUUCUCAUUGCCUGGAAGGUUCAGAUUACGGAAGAGGCAUUCUUGUGCUUAGUGAGUAUUGUUAGUUCCUAUUGUGAGAAUCCUGAUACAUCCACUUUGAUGAGUAGAAAUAACAAGUGUUUUUUUGUGCCAAAUA
Panicum virgatum (switchgrass) is the source of this 2458-nucleotide long non-coding RNA. RefSeq lists it as uncharacterized. NCBI's taxonomy places the organism in Eukaryota, Viridiplantae, Streptophyta, Magnoliopsida, Poales, Poaceae. The record is from RefSeq and is a predicted model, not a curated record. The transcript has 4 exons.